UACAAACUCGGUGUAUCUGUA
This 21-nucleotide non-coding RNA is filed under the name Arabidopsis thaliana (thale cress). The record is from RNAcentral. Lineage: Eukaryota; Viridiplantae; Streptophyta; Magnoliopsida; Brassicales; Brassicaceae.